Non-coding RNA from Paramuricea clavata, 73 nucleotides. NCBI's taxonomy places the organism in Eukaryota, Metazoa, Cnidaria, Anthozoa, Malacalcyonacea, Plexauridae. The record is from the annotation of a GenBank genome assembly.
CUCUUUGUAGCUCAGUUGGUUAGAGCGCUGCACAGGAAUUGCAGGACCGCAAGAUCGAUUCCUGGCAGAGGGU